GCGACGAACUCGAGUGAAGUUGA
RNAcentral lists this non-coding RNA (23 nucleotides) under Arabidopsis thaliana (thale cress). Lineage: Eukaryota; Viridiplantae; Streptophyta; Magnoliopsida; Brassicales; Brassicaceae. The record is from RNAcentral.